Molecule: ribosomal RNA, 253 nt
Filed under: uncultured bacterium
Lineage: Bacteria
Description: partial 16S ribosomal RNA
Rfam family: Bacterial small subunit ribosomal RNA
Source: RNAcentral
UACGUAGGGGGCUAGCGUUGUCCGGAAUCAUUGGGCGUAAAGAGCUCGUAGGCGGUCUGUUGCGUCCGCUGUGAAAACUCGGGGCUUAACCCCGAGCCUGCAGUGGAUACGGGCAGACUAGAGGUAGGUAGGGGAGAAUGGAAUUCCCGGUGUAGCGGUGAGAUGCGCAGAUAUCGGGAGGAACACCGGUGGCGAAGGCGGUUCUCUGGGCCUUACCUGACGCUGAGGAGCGAAAGCGUGGGGAGCGAACAGG